RNAcentral lists this unclassified non-coding RNA (329 nucleotides) under soil metagenome. RNAcentral describes it as "partial contains 5.8S ribosomal RNA, internal transcribed spacer 2, and large subunit ribosomal RNA". The stretch from base 1 to 120 matches the Rfam family "5.8S ribosomal RNA", at positions 35 to 154 of the family's 154-position model. The record is from RNAcentral.
GAUGAAGAACGUAGUGAAAUGCGAUAAGUAGUGUGAAUUGCAGAAUUCAGUGAAUCAUCGAAUCUUUGAACGCACAUUGCGCCCCUUGGUAUCCCGAGGGGCAUGCCUGUUCGAGCGUCAUUUCACCACUCAAGCCUGGCUUGGUGUUGGGCGACGUCCCCUUUGGGGACGCGCCUCGAAACGCUCGGCGGCGUGGCACCGGCUUUAAGCGUAGCAGAAUCUUUCGCUUUGGAAGUCGGGGCCCCGUCUGCCGGAAGACCUACUCGCAAGGUCGACCUCGGAUCAGGCAGGGAUACCCGCUGAACUUAAGCAUAUCAAUAAGCGGAGGA